Molecule: unclassified non-coding RNA, 147 nt
Organism: Pongo abelii (Sumatran orangutan)
Lineage: Eukaryota; Metazoa; Chordata; Mammalia; Primates; Hominidae
Rfam family: Metazoan signal recognition particle RNA
About the family: The signal recognition particle (SRP) is a universally conserved ribonucleoprotein. It is involved in the co-translational targeting of proteins to membranes.
Source: Ensembl
GCCGGGCAUGGUGGCGUGCGCCUGUAGUCCCAGCUACUGGGAGGCUGAGGCAGGAGAAUUGCUUGCACCUGGGAGGCAGAGGUUGCAGUGAGCCAAGAUCGUGCCACUGCACUCCAGCCUGGGCGACAGAGCGAGACUCUGUCUCCA